UGUGAACUGAUAAAUAUUUUACUGAUUCAAUGUCCGGGAUGCUGCUAUUGUUAACCUUUCCUCUCUCGUUUUCUAAAGUCCUCUUCAGUCGAGAGAAAAGACAACUGGAUCUUUUUCAGUCCAAACCUUUGAAGUCCUCCACAGACCAGUUUCUCCCUCAGAUCUCUGGAUACUUUCACUUUCCAGGGGAUUUCAUCACCAGCAGGCUCCGCCCCCUUUACUGCCUCAUAUGAUCCUGAUCCGCUUUCAGUUCUAACAAUCGUUUCCCGACCGUCUUCUGAGAAACAACUCCUCCAUCAAAUGAACCCUCAGGAUGUCCUCCAUCUUCUUCAGGACGUUGGCGCUGAUGUCUGUGCUUCUGUGUGGAGUCUCUGCAGACGCAGCUAUUUCACUACACUGCAACCAACCAGUGAAUGUUACAUUUGGACAGGUUCUGAAUCUCACGUGUGUCAUUGAAUUGAAACAAGACGACUGUAAAGAUGUUUAUGUUGAGUGGAACGACACAGUAGAGGACCUCUGUGUUAAUAACAGAUUUGGUGCAGUUUGUGGCAAGGCUUCUAAGACUGUGAUUGUGAAGGUCUAUCCUGAUGUGCAUCUAGAUGGAACUGCUAAAACACCUGCCGCUAUUUGGCAAAUUACAACUUCUGAGCAACCAGAGAAGAAUAAAAGGAAUUAUAUCGCGGCGGCUGCCGUCUCUGUGGUCGUUAUUGGAGUUGUUGUAGUUGUUGGAGCGGUUGUGUAUAUGAAAUUCAAAAGGAAGUGCCCACCAUUGUCUUCGACAGCAGAAUCAGAUGCUCUGACAGACGCCGUAUAAAACGAGCUUUUCAGCUCCGAAUGAACUUGUCAAGUUGGCCUGAGGAAAUCAUGUGACUUCCUUCAGCUCCGUCCGGCAGACGACGUCUUCACUUCUCUGCUGCUUCACUAACUCAGUCCAGUGUAGCGCUCCAGUUCAACCGUGUGAAGAACAAAAGAACAAGAGAGAAUAGCGCUCCGAUGUACGAGCAGGACUCAAACGCAUCAUGGAGACAAAACGCUGGCGAGUCCGGUCGGGUCGUCCCCAAAGUCAGGACCGAUUCCUGCAGAACACGAGGAGAAGAUGAUGAAGAAACGGGAUAUUUUAUGGAUCCAGGAUUUCUCUGGAGGUCCAGAGUUUCUCUGUUUUUAUGGAUUCAAGACAAAAUCUACCAAAUUAUUUAUGUUGUGCUAAACAAACUUUUAGUAAAUAUUUGUUUUUUUACAUAUCUUUGUAAAUUAUUUGCAUAAAAUCAACAAGUACCUUAAGUUUUUCCGAUGGCAAAUUAUUUUAAAAUCAUGAAUUUUUCCAUUCCCCGUGAACAAAAACAUGCUGUGAUGAUUUCAUUCAGAUAAACUUGUUGGUUCUGUUUGUUUACAGCAUGUUUGUGUCUGUGAAGCCUUUUAAAUUAAUCUAUGUAAAUAUUUUAUUCUCAGAAGUCCUAAAUAUGAAUUUUUAACCUGCAGGUCAAGGUUUGUGUAUGGGGACGUCAAUGGGUUGCACUGCCCUCUAGUGGUGAAUCUGUGUAACUACACUUUUCUUUUAGAAAACUCUUGUUUGCUCUUCUAAUCUAAUGUAAAUAUGUCUUCUAUUUGUUCUUUUAUAUAUGUACUUCAGCUGCUGCUUUUGUAAUAAAAACAUGUUCAUGUUUGUCCAAUGAAAAGUUGGAGC
Long non-coding RNA from Oryzias javanicus (javanese ricefish), 1684 nucleotides. The record is from Ensembl. Lineage: Eukaryota; Metazoa; Chordata; Actinopteri; Beloniformes; Adrianichthyidae.